GGCCCAGAUCGUUUACCGUGAAAAAAUUAGAGUGUUCAAAGCAGGCAGAUCCAAUUUUCUGCCACCGAAUACAUUAGCAUGGGAUAAUGGAAUAGGACCCUGUCCUCCUAUUUUCAGUUGGUUUUGGCAGCGCGAGGACUAGGGUAAUGAUUAAUAGGGAUAGUUGGGGGCAUUAAUAUUUAAUUGUCAGAGGUGAAAUUCUUGGAUUUAUGAAAGAUUAACUUCUGCGAAAGCAUCUGCCAAGGAUGUUUUCAUUAAUCAAGAACGAAAGUUAGGGGAUCGAAGACGAUCAGAUACCGUCGUAGUCUUAACCAUAAACGAUGCCGACCAGCGAUUAGGAGACGUUGAAUACAAAACACCACCAUCGGUUGCGGUCGUCCUUGGCGUCUCGGUUUCGGCCGGGGCGCGGGGACGGUUUAGCCCGGUGGCACCGGUGAAUGACUCCCUAGCAGCUUGUGAGAA
Molecule: ribosomal RNA, 462 nt
Filed under: Acanthamoeba castellanii
Lineage: Eukaryota; Discosea; Longamoebia; Acanthamoebidae
Description: SSU rRNA
Rfam family: Eukaryotic small subunit ribosomal RNA
Source: RNAcentral